Molecule: ribosomal RNA, 433 nt
Filed under: Neisseria flavescens
Lineage: Bacteria; Pseudomonadati; Pseudomonadota; Betaproteobacteria; Neisseriales; Neisseriaceae
Description: bacterial SSU rRNA
Rfam family: Bacterial small subunit ribosomal RNA
Source: RNAcentral
AUUGAACGCGGCGGCAUGCUUUACACAUGCAAGUCGGACGGCAGCACAGAGAAGCUUGCUUCUUGGGUGGCGAGUGGCGAACGGGUGAGUAAUAUAUCGGAACGUACCGAGUAAUGGGGGAUAACUAAUCGAAAGAUUAGCUAAUACCGCAUAUUCUCUGAGGAGGAAAGCAGGGGACCUUCGGGCCUUGCGUUAUUUGAGCGGCCGAUAUCUGAUUAGCUAGUUGGUGGGGUAAAGGCCUACCAAGGCGACGAUCAGUAGCGGGUCUGAGAGGAUGAUCCGCCACACUGGGACUGAGACACGGCCCAGACUCCUACGGGAGGCAGCAGUGGGGAAUUUUGGACAAUGGGCGCAAGCCUGAUCCAGCCAUGCCGCGUGUCUGAAGAAGGCCUUCGGGUUGUAAGGACUUUUGUCAGGGAAGAAAAGGACAGGG